This 497-nucleotide ribosomal RNA is filed under the name uncultured bacterium. RNAcentral's name for it is "partial 16S ribosomal RNA". It matches the Rfam family "Bacterial small subunit ribosomal RNA", at positions 28 to 507 of the family's 1533-position model. The record is from RNAcentral.
GAUGAACGCUGGCGGCGUGCCUAAUACAUGCAAGUCGAGCGAACGGACGAGAAGCUUGCUUCUCUGAUGUUAGCGGCGGACGGGUAAGUAACACGUGGAUAACCUACCUAUAAGACUGGGAUAACUUCGGGAAACCGGAGCUAAUACCGGAUAAUAUUUUGAACCGCAUGGUUCAAAAGUGAAAGACGGUCUUGCUGUCACUUAUAGAUGGAUCCGCGCUGCAUUAGCUAGUUGGUAAGGUAACGGCUUACCAAGGCAACGAUGCACAGCCGACCUGAGAGGGUGAUCGGCCACACUGGAACUGAGACACGGUCCAGACUCCUACGGGAGGCAGCAGUAGGGAAUCUUCCGCAAUGGGCGAAAGCCUGACGGAGCAACGCCGCGUGAGUGAUGAAGGUCUUCGGAUCGUAAAACUCUGUUAUUAGGGAAGAACAUAUGUGUAAGUAACUGUGCACAUCUUGACGGUACCUAAUCAGAAAGCCACGGCUAACUACGUG